UACGGCUCAGUAACACGUGGAUAACUUAUCCUGUGGUCUGGGAUAACCCCUGGGAAACUGGGGCUAAUACCGGAUAGAGCAUUGAUCGCUGGAAUGCACGAUGCUCGAAAGCUGCGGCGCCAAAGGAUAGGUCUGCGGCCGAUUAGGUUGUUGUUGAUGUAACGGAUCAACAAGCCUCCGAUCGGUAUGGGUUGUGAGAGCAAUAGCCCAGAGAUGGGUUCUGAGAGAAGAACCCAGGUCCUACGGGACGCAUCAGGCGCGAAAACUUUACAAUGUGCGAAAGCACGAUAAGGGAACUCUGAGUGCCUCCUACGGAGGCUGUUCAGGUGUUUAAAAGCAUUUGAAGGAAGGGCUGGGUAAGACCGGUGCCAGCCGCCGCGGUAACACCGGCAGCCCAAGUGGUGGCCACUUUUACUGGGUCUAAAGCGUUCGUAGCCGGCUAAGUAAGUUCCUUGGGAAAUUUGAUCGCUUAACGAUUAAGCUUUCAGGGAAUACUGUUUGGCUUGGGACCGGGAGAGGUCAGAGGUACCUCAAGGGUAGGGGUGAAAUCCGUUAAUCCUUGGGGGACCGCCAGUAGCGAAGGCGUCUGACCAGACCGGAUCCGACGGUGAGGGACGAAGGCUAGGGUAGCGAACCGGAUUAGAUACCCGGGUAGUCCUAGCUGUAAACGAUGCGGACUAGGUGUUGGCAUUACUGCGAGUGAUGCCAGUGCCGAAGGGAAGCCGUUAAGUCCGCCAUCUGGGGAGUACGGUCGCAAGGCUGAAACUUAAAGGAAUUGGCGGGGAGCAC
This 789-nucleotide ribosomal RNA is filed under the name uncultured archaeon. RNAcentral's name for it is "bacterial SSU rRNA". It matches the Rfam family "Archaeal small subunit ribosomal RNA", at positions 84 to 879 of the family's 1478-position model. The record is from RNAcentral.